Molecule: ribosomal RNA, 422 nt
Filed under: Nitrososphaerota archaeon
Lineage: Archaea; Thermoproteati; Nitrososphaerota
Description: bacterial SSU rRNA
Rfam family: Archaeal small subunit ribosomal RNA
Source: RNAcentral
AAUCCGGUUGAUCCUGCCGGACCUGACUGCUAUCGGAUUAAUACUAAGCCAUGCGAGUUUUUGUAGUAAUACAAGGCAUACGGCUCAGUAACACGUAGUCAACCUACCCUAUGGACGAGGAUAAUCUCGGGAAACUGAGCAUAAUACUCGAUAGAUCAUAAUGCCUGGAAUGGUUUAUGGUUGAAAUGAUUCGUUCGCCAUAGGAUGGGACUGCGGCCUAUCAGCUUGUUGGUGGGGUAAUGGCCCACCAAGGCGAUUACAGGUACGGGCUCUGAGAGGAGAAGCCCGGAGAUGGGUACUGAGACACGGACCCAGGCCCUAUGGGGCGCAGCAGGCGAGAAAACUUUGCAAUGUGCGAAAGCACGACAAGGUUAGUCCGAGUGAUUUCUGCUAAAGAAAUCUUUUGCAAGUUCUAAAACCAC